CUGGAUAUGAGGAUGAUAGCCAGGGGCGGCUACAGGCACCAGCACGCUGAGCCCGUGCUUGGGUCGGCAAGCCACAGGGGGCGCUCUGCUGGUCGCCAUGAGGGCAGCAAGCAGGUUGCUUUCAGCAACAUGUCUGCAGAGGGUCCACUGGUCUCACGGCUCCAGCGGACCUCCCACAGGCCACCCCUGAAGAUAGUCCAUCCAAACCCAUCUUGGCAGUAUUUUGUAACUGAACCAGAGGGAAGAGUGCCACCUGUAUAUUGAUGCCACCACUUCCUGGAGCACCUUAUCUUCCUCAUUCAAGUACUGGCUCAGUUGGAUCCUGGUUAGCAAUAACCGAUCUAACACUAUUACAGCUGAGUGAUAUAGGAAACCUUGUCACAUUUUAAAUACUGUUAACAGAAGCCAAAAUAGGCCCUGGUGAUUUCGAGAGCUCCAUCUCCAGCUCAGGAGUCUGUUGCAGGAUCAGAGCUUUACUCAUCAGGGAAGGUUGCCAUUUAAGCCAUUAGAUAAUACAAUAUAUCAAUGCCCUUUAAUUGCAUUGUUAUGAGCUUUGUGAAAACUGUGUAUUGGAAGUGAAGGGGGAGGGACACUAAAAGAAAUUGUUGUGACAGCAUCCCCAUCGGCCCAGUAAAUCAAUAUUAAAAUUACUUGUAGAAUUCAAAGUGGAUGGUUGAAAGGGCAUUGCCCAGUGCAGGCAGACUUGUUUCUUAAAUAGCAACACUACGGUUCAGGAAACUUUCUCCCAUGUGGCACUAACUGCAUCUCAACCACCAUACUCAAGCCCUGCUACAACUUUAACUCCCAGAGAAGCCUCUCAAGGUUGCCUUCUCGAGCUUCUUUUCUCUUGAGCCUCCGGAAGAUUCGACCUGCUCAGCCUUUCAGAAGUUUUAAGCAGAUCUUUUCUCUCUCCUAUUUACGUGGAGAUAGGAACUAAGACGGACUCGCACGCACUGUCUCUCUCCCUCUGCAAAUAAAUUCCACGUAGGCUCUUCGAACCCACCCCAGAAGACAUGAUCAAUUACAAAACUUGGGGCUAAUGUACAUGAACCGUGUGAAUGCCCGCCCACUUCCCGGAACCCAAUAGGACCGAGUCCCGACAGGCUCGGCAGAUUAACGAGAGAGAACGUUCUCAUUCAUUGUCCAAAUCCCCGAGAGAGAGAGAGAGAGAGAGG
Long non-coding RNA from Gopherus evgoodei (Goodes thornscrub tortoise), 1175 nucleotides. RefSeq lists it as uncharacterized. The record is from RefSeq and is a predicted model, not a curated record. The transcript has 3 exons. Lineage: Eukaryota; Metazoa; Chordata; Testudines; Testudinidae.